This 66-nucleotide transfer RNA is filed under the name Kitasatospora sp. Root187. It matches the Rfam family "tRNA". From Rfam's summary of the family: Transfer RNA (tRNA) molecules are approximately 80 nucleotides in length. Their secondary structure includes four short double-helical elements and three loops (D, anti-codon, and T loops). The record is from Rfam by way of RNAcentral. Lineage: Bacteria; Bacillati; Actinomycetota; Actinomycetes; Kitasatosporales; Streptomycetaceae.
GCGCCGCUAGCUCAGUUGGUUAGAGCAGCUGACUCUUAAUCAGCGGGUCCGGGGNCUGGCGGCGCA